CCUACGGGGGGCAGCAGUGGGGAAUAUUGCACAAUGGGCGCAAGCCUGAUGCAGCCAUGCCGCGUGUGUGAAGAAGGCCUUCGGGUUGUAAAGCACUUUCAGCGGGGAGGAAGGCGUUAAGGUUAAUAACCUCAUCGAUUGACGUUACCCGCAGAAGAAGCACCGGCUAACUCCGUGCCAGCAGCCGCGGUAAUACGGAGGGUGCAAGCGUUAAUCGGAAUUACUGGGCGUAAAGCGCACGCAGGCGGUCUGUCAAGUCGGAUGUGAAAUCCCCGGGCUCAACCUGGGAACUGCAUUCGAAACUGGCAGGCUAGAGUCUUGUAGAGGGGGGUAGAAUUCCAGGUGUAGCGGUGAAAUGCGUAGAGAUCUGGAGGAAUACCGGUGGCGAGGGCGGCCCCCUGGACAAAGACUGACGCUCAGGUGCGAAAGCGUGGGGAGCAAACAGGAUUAGAUACCCGGGUAGUC
Molecule: ribosomal RNA, 465 nt
Filed under: uncultured Klebsiella sp.
Lineage: Bacteria; Pseudomonadati; Pseudomonadota; Gammaproteobacteria; Enterobacterales; Enterobacteriaceae
Description: bacterial SSU rRNA
Rfam family: Bacterial small subunit ribosomal RNA
Source: RNAcentral